AGUGAACGCUGGCGGUAGGCCUAACACAUGCAAGUCGAACGGCAGCACAGUAAGAGCUUGCUCUUACGGGUGGCGAGUGGCGGACGGGUGAGGAAUACAUCGGAAUCUACUUUUUCGUGGGGGAUAACGUAGGGAAGCUUACGCUAAUACCGCAUACGACCUACGGGUGAAAGCAGGGGAUCUUCGGCCCUUGCGCGAUUGAAUGAGCCGAUGUCGGAUUAGCUAGUUGGCGGGGUAAAGGCCCACCAAGGCGACGAUCCGUAGCUGGUCUGAGAGGAUGAUCAGCCACACUGGAACUGAGACACGGUCCAGACUCCUACGGGAGGCAGCAGUGGGGAAUAUUGGACAAUGGGCGCAAGCCUGAUCCAGCCAUACCGCGUGGGUGAAGAAGGCCUUCGGGUUGUAAAGCCCUUUUGUUGGGAAAGAAAAGCAGCAGGUUAAUACCCCGCUGUUCUGACGGUACCCAAAGAAUAAGCACCGGCUAACUUCGUG
This 492-nucleotide ribosomal RNA is filed under the name uncultured bacterium. RNAcentral's name for it is "partial 16S ribosomal RNA". It matches the Rfam family "Bacterial small subunit ribosomal RNA", at positions 29 to 507 of the family's 1533-position model. The record is from RNAcentral.